Non-coding RNA from Mesocricetus auratus (golden hamster), 73 nucleotides. NCBI's taxonomy places the organism in Eukaryota, Metazoa, Chordata, Mammalia, Rodentia, Cricetidae. The record is from Rfam.
GCCCAGCUAGCUCAGUUGGUAGAGCAUGAGACUCUUAAUCUCAGGGUUGUGUGUUCAAGCCCCACAUUGGGUG